CCUACGGGAGGCAGCAGUGAGGAAUAUUGGUCAAUGGACGAGAGUCUGAACCAGCCAAGUAGCGUGAAGGAUGACUGCCCUAUGGGUUGUAAACUUCUUUUAUAUGGGAAUAGAAUGUUCCACGUGUGGGAUUUUGUAUGUACCAUAUGAAUAAGGAUCGGCUAACUCCGUGCCAGCAGCCGCGGUAAUACGGAGGAUCCGAGCGUUAUCCGGAUUUAUUGGGUUUAAAGGGAGCGUAGGUGGAUUGUUAAGUCAGUUGUGAAAGUUUGCGGCUCAACCGUAAAAUUGCAGUUGAUACUGGCAGUCUUGAGUACAGUAGAGGUGGGCGGAAUUCGUGGUGUAGCGGUGAAAUGCUUAGAUAUCACGAAGAACUCCGAUUGCGAAGGCAGUUCACUGGACUGCAACUGACACUGAGGCUCGAAAGUGUGGGUAUCAAACAGGAUUAGAUACCCUAGUAGUC
This 460-nucleotide ribosomal RNA is filed under the name uncultured bacterium. RNAcentral describes it as "partial 16S ribosomal RNA". It matches the Rfam family "Bacterial small subunit ribosomal RNA", at positions 338 to 795 of the family's 1533-position model. The record is from RNAcentral.